CAGCAGUAGGGAAUCUUCCACAAUGGGCGAAAGCCUGAUGGAGCAACGCCGCGUGUGUGAUGAAGGGUUUCGGCUCGUAAAACACUGUUGUAAGAGAAGAAUGACAUUGAGAGUAACUGUUCAAUGUGUGACGGUAUCUUACCAGAAAGGAACGGCUAAAUACGUGCCAGCAGCCGCGGUAAUACGUAUGUUCCAAGCGUUAUCCGGAUUUAUUGGGCGUAAAGCGAGCGCAGACGGUUAUUUAAGUCUGAAGUGAAAGCCCUCAGCUCAACUGAGGAAUUGCUUUGGAAACUGGAUGACUUGAGUGCAGUAGAGGAAAGUGGAACUCCAUGUGUAGCGGUGAAAUGCGUAGAUAUAUGGAAGAACACCAGUGGCGAAGGCGGCUUUCUGGACUGUAACUGACGUUGAGGCUCGAAAGUGUGGGUAGCAAACAGGAUUAGA
This 441-nucleotide ribosomal RNA is filed under the name uncultured Weissella sp. RNAcentral's name for it is "bacterial SSU rRNA". It matches the Rfam family "Bacterial small subunit ribosomal RNA", at positions 349 to 782 of the family's 1533-position model. The record is from RNAcentral. Lineage: Bacteria; Bacillati; Bacillota; Bacilli; Lactobacillales; Lactobacillaceae.